Molecule: RNA transcript, 3483 nt
Organism: Lycium ferocissimum
Lineage: Eukaryota; Viridiplantae; Streptophyta; Magnoliopsida; Solanales; Solanaceae
Gene name: pentatricopeptide repeat-containing protein At4g30825, chloroplastic
Exons: 3
Source: RefSeq, a predicted model, not a curated record
GAAUCUUAAUAACUCCCACCAAUCUUUUUAGCUAAAUUUUCACUUUGUUUUCUUAUAAAUUUUUAAUCUUGAUAACUCCCACCAAUCUUUUUAGCUAAAUUUUCACUUUGUUUUCUUAUAAAUUUUUAAUCUUGAUAACUUCCCACCAACCCCUUUUAGCUAAAUUUUGAUUGUGUUUUCUAAUAAAGCUUUAAUCUUGAUGAAUUAAUGCUGAAGUUAUCAACUUUUAUUGAGGCCACCUUGUUUAAUGGCCUCUUUGAAAUUAUCCCUUUAUGUAGACAGUUCAUGGGAAUCCAAGAAACUUAAUUGCACAGUGAAAGGUUUGAACUUUACUGAUUCUAAGUGUUGGUUUCCUUCUAUUUUGGGUAGUGGUGCAUUUGUUGUUAGUCCAUUUUGUAAGUUGAAACACAUUAGAGUUUCAAGAUUAGAAACUGAGGAAUUAGAGAGUUCUGAAUUGAGUUUAAGUGGUGAUGGGGUUGAUGGUUUUGAGGGUAAUUUGGGAAAUGAAAGUUUUGUUUCUGAAAGACCAAAUCUUGGAAGAGAGAAAGGGAGGUUUAAUGUUUGGAAAAGAUUUAGGAGAGUGAAGAGAGUGUCGAAAGACUCGAAUUAUAGGUCUAGUUUUAGAAAAGAUAGGAAAAAUGGGAUGGAAGAUAAAAUGAAGAUUGUGUUGGAUGAAAAUAGUGAUGAGAAUGUGAUAGAUAGCGAAAAUGGGGUUGAUUUUCGGGCUGAGAAUUUGAGGCCCGACUCGAGUUUGGAUCAAUGCAAUGCAAUAUUGAAACAACUCGAAAGGGGUGAUGAUGAUGGGGAAGCGUUGAGUUUUUUCGGAUGGAUGAGGAAAAAUGGGAAGUUAAAGCGAAAUGUUACUGCCUAUAAUUUGAUACUCCGCAUCUUGGGGAGAAGAGGGGAUUGGGAUGGGGCGGAGAAAAUGAUUAAAGAAAUGAGUUUUGAGUCGGAUUGUGAGCUUACGUAUCAGGUUUUCAAUACGCUUAUUUAUGCUUGCCAUAAAAAAGGGCUCGUGGAGUUGGGUGCUAAGUGGUUUAACAUGAUGUUGGAGAAUAAAGUUCAGCCAAAUAUAGCUACUUUUGGAAUGCUGAUGGCUCUUUAUCAGAAAGGAUGGAAUGUUGAGGAAGCAGAGUUUACGUUUUCAAAGAUGAGGAAUCUUAAAAUUAUGUGCCAGUCAGCGUAUUCGUCUAUGUUGACGAUAUAUACACGAAUGAGAUUGUAUGAUAAAGCGGAAGAAAUCAUUGGCUUUUUGAGGGAAGAUGAAGUAAUUCUGAAUCUUGAGAAUUGGUUGGUUCUGCUUAAUGCUUAUUGUCAACAAGGCAAGUUACUCGAGGCUGAGCAGGUCUUAGCUUCCAUGAAGCAAUCCGGUUUCAUAAAUAUAGUUGCAUACAACACGUUGAUCACCGGAUACGGGAAGAUUUCCGAUAUGCGUGCUGCACAAAGCUUGUUUGGUGACCUUAAAAGGGUUGGAGUGGAACCUGAUGAAACAACUUACAGGUCUAUGAUUGAAGGGUGGGGUCGUGCGGACAAUUAUGAUGAAGCAAGGAAAUACUAUGUGGAACUGAAAAGGCUUGGCCACAAACCAAACUCGUCUAACUUGUACACAUUGCUAAAUUUACAAGUCAAGCAUGGAGAUGAAGAGGAUGUUGUUAGAACUAUUGAGGAAAUGAUGCAAACCGGGAGUGAAAAGUCGACCAUCCUCGGCAUUCUUUUGCAAGCAUAUGAGAAGCUUGAACUCAUUCACAAAGUUCCUUCAAUUUUAAGAGGUUCUUUAUAUGAUCAUGUUUUGAGAAACCAAAUAUCUUGUUCAAGUCUAGUAAUGGCUUAUGUGAAAAACAGCAUGAUAGAUGAUGCGCUACAAGUUUUACGGGAAAAAAAGUGGAAGGAUGCUUUAUUUGAGGACAACUUGUACCAUUUGUUAAUUUGCUCGUGCAAAGAUAUCGGACAUCCGGAGAAUGCAGUGAAAGUAUUCACGUGUGUGCCGAAAUCUGAUAAGCCUAACUUACAUAUAAUAUGCACUAUGAUAGACAUUUACAGUUCAAACAACGAGUUUGUUGAAGCUGAAAAGCUUUAUCUAAUGUUGGAGAAUUCAAAUGUCAAACUGGACAUGAUAACUUUCAGUGUUGUGGUAAGGAUGUACGUGAAAUUCGGAGCUUUAGAAGAAGCCUGCUCUGUUUUGGAAGCAAUGGAAAAACAAAAAGACAUUGUUCCGGACACAUAUUUGCUCCGUGAUAUGCUCCGAAUCUACCAGCGAUGUGAGAAGAAGGACAAAUUGGCGGAUCUUUAUUACAAACUCGUGAAAAUAGGAGUCGUGUGGGACCAGGAAAUGUACAGCUGUGUCAUAAACUGUUGUGCCCGUGCACUGCCCGUUGAUGAGCUUUCUAGGCUUUUUGACGAGAUGCUUAAACAUGGGUUUUUACCUAAUACCGUCACGUUCAAUGUUAUGCUUGACGUAUAUGGAAAGUCCAGGCUCUUCAAAAGGGCAAGAGAAGUUUUUUCGAUGGCUAAGAAGCGUGGUUUGGCUGAUGUUAUCUCUUACAAUACUCUCAUAGCUGCGUAUGGGAGAAGUAAAGACUUCAAGAACAUGUCGUCAACCGUCAAAAAGAUGCACUUCAACGGCUUUUCGGUUUCUCUUGAAGCCUAUAAUUGUAUGUUAGAUGCCUAUGGGAAAGAUGGACAAAUGGAGAAAUUCCGUAAUAUCUUGGAAAGACUGAAGGAAUCUCGUCAUUCUUCUGAUAAUUACACGUACAACAUUAUGAUAAACAUUUAUGGUGAGCUUGGUUGGAUUGAAGAAGUUGCAGAUGUUCUGGCAGAAUUGAAAGAAUCAGGAACUGGACCUGAUUUGUGCAGCUAUAACACAUUAAUAAAGGCAUACGGAAUUGCUGGUAUGGUUGAAAAUGCAGUAGAUUUGGUUAAGGAAAUGCGCAAGAAUGGAAUUGAACCUGAUCGAGUAACCUAUGCUAACCUAAUCAAUGCAUUACGGAAGAAUGAUAUGUUUCUCGAGGCUGUUAAGUGGUCUUUAUGGAUGAAGCAGAUUGGAUUAUAAGAUCCAUUCUGGCAAAUAUUGCUGUUAUUCAUCGUGUACCAUUCAUCUCCGGUUUAAAGGUCAAGGCUUGUAUUCUUCUUGUAUAGUUUGACACAAAACUUUCCAGCGGGGACUUUACUGAGUAAGCCAGAGCACGCAUGUCACAGCAGGUCUAUAGAAGAUCACAUAUAUGCCAGUCGUCUACUUGCGCACCCAAGUUUGUGUAAAGUAAUUCAUAGACAACUAUGGUUUGAUUGUCCAUAAUGCACCGGGUAGUGUAUAGUCGUAACUCUUUCAAUAAGGAAGAGAGCGUACUGUGAUAGCUUUAUUGAUCAUCUGUAUAUCCAGGAAGUUGUCUCACUGUUGUAAAAAAUCAACAUGGUAAAGGCUCUAAGCCUUUUAGAAUGUUUUAGCUACUCUGUGGCUGAGCCCUUUUUAGUAUAGUUUCAAUAAAA